GCCGGGUGUAGUAGCUUACACCUGUAAUCCCAGCACUUUGGGAGGCUGAGGCAGGAGGCUCACUUGAGGUCAGGAGUUCAAGACCAGCCUGGCCAACAUGGUGAAACCCUGUCUCUA
Papio anubis (olive baboon) is the source of this 117-nucleotide unclassified non-coding RNA. It matches the Rfam family "Metazoan signal recognition particle RNA". From Rfam's summary of the family: The signal recognition particle (SRP) is a universally conserved ribonucleoprotein. It is involved in the co-translational targeting of proteins to membranes. The record is from Ensembl. NCBI's taxonomy places the organism in Eukaryota, Metazoa, Chordata, Mammalia, Primates, Cercopithecidae.